GACGAACGCUGGCGGCGUGCUUAACACAUGCAAGUCGAACGAUGAAGCCGGAGCUUGCUCUGGUGAAUUAGUGGCGAACGGGUGAGUAACACGUGAGUAACCUGCCCUUGACUCUGGGAUAACUGCUAGAAAUGGUAGCUAAUACCGGAUACGACCCUCGGAGGCAUCUUCAGGGGGUGGAAAGAAUUUCGGUCAAGGAUGGACUCGCGGCCUAUUAGCUAGUUGGUGAGGUAAUGGCUCACCAAGGCGACGACGGGUAGCCGGCCUGAGAGGGUGACCGGCCAGACUGGGACCGAGACACGGCCCAGACUCCUACGGGAGGCAGCAGUGAGGAAUAUUGCACAAUGGGCGCAAGCCUGAUGCAGCGACGCCGCGUGAGGGAUGACGGCCUUCGGGUUGUAAACCUCUUUAGCAGGGAAGAAGCGAAAGUGACGGUACCUGCAGAAAAAGCACCGGCUAACUACGUGCCAGCCGCCGCAGUAA
This 483-nucleotide ribosomal RNA is filed under the name uncultured bacterium. RNAcentral describes it as "partial 16S ribosomal RNA". It matches the Rfam family "Bacterial small subunit ribosomal RNA", at positions 28 to 523 of the family's 1533-position model. The record is from RNAcentral.